RNAcentral lists this long non-coding RNA (225 nucleotides) under Fukomys damarensis (Damara mole-rat). RNAcentral describes it as "lncRNA (ENSFDAG00000025824.1)". Lineage: Eukaryota; Metazoa; Chordata; Mammalia; Rodentia; Bathyergidae. The record is from RNAcentral.
AUGAUCAUGGAAGUGAAAGGUUACCUGCUCAGAACUUUGUUGCCUUUUUCUGUGCAUACAGUAUGGAUACAUUUUGCAGGAUUCUUUUCAGUUCGACCAUGUGCCUACUUCAAAGAUACCACCAGAGCCAUACUGAAAGUCAGUUCCAAGAUUUCAGGAAUGUCACUGCCACCUUUCAAAUUUGUUUACUUGGAUCGUGGUAAAUUUCAUUCUCUCAUUUUUUAG